GUGGGGAAUAUUGGACAAUGGGCGAAAGCCUGAUCCAGCCAUGCCGCGUGUGUGAAGAAGGUCUUCGGAUUGUAAAGCACUUUAAGUUGGGAGGAAGGGUAGUAACCUAAUACGUUGCUACUUUGACGUUACCGACAGAAUAAGCACCGGCUAACUUCGUGCCAGCAGCCGCGGUAAUACGAAGGGUGCAAGCGUUACUCGGAAUUACUGGGCGUAAAGCGUGCGUAGGUGGUGGUUUAAGUCCGUUGUGAAAGCCCUGGGCUCAACCUGGGAAUUGCAGUGGAUACUGGAUCACUAGAGUGUGGUAGAGGGAUGCGGAAUUUCUGGUGUAGCAGUGAAAUUCGUAGAUAUUCGGAGGAACACCAGUGGCGAAGGCGACUUACUGGUCCAUUACUGACGCUGAGGUGCGAAAGCGUGGGGAGCAAACAGGAUUAGAAACCCGUGUAGUCC
This 450-nucleotide ribosomal RNA is filed under the name uncultured bacterium. RNAcentral's name for it is "partial 16S ribosomal RNA". It matches the Rfam family "Bacterial small subunit ribosomal RNA", at positions 354 to 796 of the family's 1533-position model. The record is from RNAcentral.